RNAcentral lists this long non-coding RNA (2152 nucleotides) under Struthio camelus australis. RNAcentral describes it as "lncRNA (ENSSCUG00000011142.1)". Lineage: Eukaryota; Metazoa; Chordata; Aves; Struthioniformes; Struthionidae. The record is from RNAcentral.
CCGUCGCGGCAGGCGCGGAGCGGNNNNNNNNNNNNNNNNNNNNNNNNNNNNNNNNNNNNNNNNNNNNNAAAAAAAAAAAAAAAAAAAAUCUGACGGGGUGGGGAAAGUACUCCGUUGCAGGUCUGCUCUUCUGGCCAGAGGGCACGACAUGUCGUUGCGGCGGUGAGAGAGGAGGAGAUCUCAGAGAUGUUUCCAGCUCUCAGCGCUAGCAGCCCGCAAUGGUCUGGUGCUUACGGCCCUUCCACGGAAGAGCCGUCAGGCUCCCGUCCCUGUCACACCCCAAGUCACGCUCAGAGCUCAGGGAAGUCUUCUGGCUCAGGAUACACAAACUGAAGUCAGUGAAAACACUAUGUGCUCAAAACUUCGGAAAAAUUCAAGGCUCUUAUGAGGUAACCAAAAAAGGACUGCAGCACUGUAUUCUAAUGUAACGGCGCUCUCAAACUACCGUUUUUCCAUUUGUAAAAUGCAGACAGCCAGGUAACAACCGAGCAUUUUUUCCUCCGAGUUGUAAGCUCAAUGGUCCAGGAAUGACCAUUUUCUGUACACUGACAGACCACCUCAGAGCCCUGGCACACCGUGGCUGUUGCAGUGCUAGCGCUGCAGAAACCACCAGUACUUAUCUGCGUUAGAGCACAUCAACAUACUCCAAGAAAACCGUGCCCAUAUCCUGACUCUCACCCGCCUUUCUCCCGUGCUGCAGCAGCUGCCCUUGCCCAGGUCACCCCAACGGGAACGCCACCGCAGAGCGAUGGUCUUGCAGGGGCUGCUCAGGUGUUAUCGGAGGCGGUAUGAAAUACCAGCGAUCUGCUCUCCUCUCCAGUCACAAGCGCAGUCGAAGCGUGUCAUCUGCUGGUGCCAGCGCUACCACCCGGCGGUCCAGCCGUGCCGCCCUGGGACCAGGCAGCCCCACGGCAGGACAGCACGUAACGAACCCCAGCGUCCCCACUACUAUCAGUGCCAUAAUCCUCCAGGAAAGGAUCUCUUCCUCUGCUCAGUUUUACACCAAUAUUUGGCGUCACUUUCUUAACAUUGCAUUGAUGAAAUAACAACUGUUUUUCAAAGCACCAAUUCUUCCUUGUUUCUCCAAGUUGGAAAAGACACAAUCAUCAACAUAAGUACUGUAUUUAAAAAUUGCACCUGACUGCUGUAGUAAAUUCAUGUCAUGCUUUUUUAUGAUAGAUAAUAUUUCAGAGACAGAGUCUCUGAAUAGAACAAAAAGAACCUGUUCAGAAACACAAUGUCUGCUGAGAGGUUCAGCUGUUUGAAUUCAGAGGUUUGCAGGCCUGAAUUCUGUCUGCAAAGCAAAGGCAGACUAAGACACCUCCAUGCUAAGGUCCUACCUGCCUCCAACUUGUACUGAAAGGGGGUUUGCCCGCGACCUCACUUAGAAGUGGAGCUAAUUGAUCCCGUAUCAAAGGUGAACUGCAACGGGGUGCCUUGGUUGGUUACAGGUCGCGUGUAAAUUGAAAAACUGUUUGUCUGGUUCUGGUGGAAAUUCACAUUUCCUGUCACCGCGUGGCUGGGUUUUGCUCACCCUCCUCAUGCAGCAACGCUUUUCAAGAGGAUAUUCUGAUCCCUAAUGAACCCCGGGAGCACAAAAUCAUUUUCAUCAGCAGCGCGAGAGAGAAGUUUUUUUUCCUGCGUAAGGUUUCGCUGAGAGACUUAAGGCAGCAACAGGUUGCCGACUAAAACAAACAGGAGACUUGUCUACCUGGCGACUGUUCCUUUGAUGCGAGAAUGAAUGUCACCGCUUUGCAAACAAAGAUGAUGAUUAAAAAAAGCAUCCUUUUUCCUAGAGGGUUCUCAGAGCGCUUUGGUGCGCUCAACCCCCCCUUAAGGGCUCCAGAAGAACACUAAAACACAAGUACGCGCUCUUUGUUGGUUUUGUUCUAUAAGCCUGCAAGAACACAGAGCAUCCAGUCCAGGUGUCCCUGGCUUGGCAAAACAACGGGUGCAGAUUGAUCUGAUCUGGAGGUAAAGGACAUUAACAUCUUCAGGCCGUACAGAGGCACGCAGCCAGGGAAGCAGCGGAGCGGGCUGGGCGCGCUGUCUUGGACCCCUCGCUCCAAGAGCCCUUGUUACCGGACUGGUCUGCCAGGCAGGUGUUCCUAUAACUUACAACAGAAUAAAUGAGAAGCUGAAUGGGUGUACA